AGGAUAGUAGCUCAGUAGUAGAGCACGUGCUUAGCAUACACGAUGUUCUGGGUUCAAUCCCCAGUACCUCUG
This 72-nucleotide transfer RNA is filed under the name Camelus bactrianus (Bactrian camel). It matches the Rfam family "tRNA". From Rfam's summary of the family: Transfer RNA (tRNA) molecules are approximately 80 nucleotides in length. Their secondary structure includes four short double-helical elements and three loops (D, anti-codon, and T loops). Lineage: Eukaryota; Metazoa; Chordata; Mammalia; Artiodactyla; Camelidae. RNAcentral also lists the same sequence under 1 other name. The record is from Rfam by way of RNAcentral.